ACACCGAUGGUGAAGCGGUUAUCAUGGUUGCCUUCCAUUCGUAGCGGUCCCGGAGUUUGGAGCAAGCGGCAGGGGUUCGACUCCCUUUCGGUGUA
This is a non-coding RNA of Hymenopellis radicata, 95 nucleotides long. The record is from the annotation of a GenBank genome assembly. Lineage: Eukaryota; Fungi; Basidiomycota; Agaricomycetes; Agaricales; Physalacriaceae.